AUCAAUAUAUUCACUCUAAAGGGUCCUCUGAAUACACAGAAAACUCAUGCAUCCUUCUUUUCUGGCAUUUAUAAUAGAAAACACACAUAGAAUCCCAAAGAUACCUUAAAAAUGGAGUUUGAAUCUAGAGCUGUUCUUUGUUGUUAGUGUGUUUUGUUACUGCUGUUUUCUGGGUUGUUGAGCUCUAUUUCCUAUGGUUUUUAUGACUUUUAUUUGGUCCCCAAUACUCUGAUUUCUACUCUAAUUACUGGUGGAAGCUGAUUUUCUAUUUUCUUUUCUCCAAAGUCAGAGGCAUAUUUCUUACUAUCUGUUGUACCUGUGACUGUUAAGGUAUUGAUUUCAUUCUCAUCAAAUGUAAUAGUUUUUGGAAUGCCAUAAAUAUCAUCAGAUUUGCAACUUUGGAUUGAUUACAUACUUGUUAAAUGUUCUACCCGUUAAUCUGGUAAUAUAUGGGUUGUUUGAAUAUUUUCUACCAUGUCUACUUUCUAACAAAACCGAGUCUGAUAUUUCAGCAUAUAACAGUAAUAUAACUAUGAGCUUGUUUGUUAAUGUUGUGUUAAUCAUGGAUUUUUGGUUGCAUUAGUUUGAGCACUUAAGGUGAAGUAACAUUGAUAUUUCCAGUUUGAUUUAAAGCAUCAGAUGUGUUGAAUGUUUCAAACCUUAAUGGAGGAGGAAACAAUGCUUUAAAAUCAGUUCUUUCUUUUAGCCUUGGAGUGUUAAAAUACAUUUGAAGUUCUGAAAAUUCCCUAAAUGUUUAAGAUUUAGAAGUUUUGGCAGCAUUCUCUUGUGUGUAAAGCCUUCCCCAUUUGGAAAUCACUUUGUCUUGGGUAUUAUUGGUAUUUGGUAAUGCAGGAGUUUGUAAGUGCUUGGCAUGAGGUACAGAUUUACAAAUCUAGCCACUGAUUGAUUAGCCGUUUGUGAAUGAUAGGCAACUUCAAGAACAUGGCAAAAAAUUAUUGCUAAGUUGAUCACUAGGCAGAUUCAAAAUUAAUUCGAUUUCAGCCUAUACAGAUUACUUUUCUUAAUUUAGUUCAAGGCCUGUAAUUAUUUGUAAAAAUGCAAUGAAGCUAUUCAUUA
RNAcentral lists this long non-coding RNA (1077 nucleotides) under Nicotiana tabacum (common tobacco). RNAcentral's name for it is "long non-coding RNA (NTAB_LNC000106)". The record is from RNAcentral. Lineage: Eukaryota; Viridiplantae; Streptophyta; Magnoliopsida; Solanales; Solanaceae.